This 148-nucleotide small RNA is filed under the name Pongo abelii (Sumatran orangutan). RNAcentral describes it as "Metazoan signal recognition particle RNA (ENSPPYG00000035989.1)". The record is from Rfam by way of RNAcentral. Lineage: Eukaryota; Metazoa; Chordata; Mammalia; Primates; Hominidae.
GCCAGGUGUGGUGGCUCGCGCCUGUAAUCCCAGCUACUUGGGAGGCUGAGGCAGGAGAAUCGCUUGAGCCUGGGAGGCAGAGGUUGCAGUGAGCUGAGAUCGUACCACUGCACUCCAGCCUGGGCAACAGAGUGAGACUCUGUCUCAA